Molecule: ribosomal RNA, 484 nt
Filed under: uncultured bacterium
Lineage: Bacteria
Description: partial 16S ribosomal RNA
Rfam family: Bacterial small subunit ribosomal RNA
Source: RNAcentral
AUUGAACGCUGGCGGCAGGCUUAACACAUGCAAGUCGAGCGGAUGAAGGGACCUUGCUCCUGGAUUCAGCGGCAGACGGGUGAGUAAUGCCUAGGUAUCUCCCUGGUAGUGUGGGCUAACGUCCGGUAACGGGCGCUAAUACUGCAUCCGUUCCGUGGUAGAACUUUGGGGAGCUUCCUACCUCUCGCCACCAUUUUAUCCUAGGUCGGAUUAGCUAGUUGGUGGCGUAACUGCCUAGCAAGGCGAUGAUCCGUAACUGGUCUGAGAGGAUGAUCAGUCACACUGGAACUGAGACACGGUCCAGACUCCUACGGGAGGCAGCAGUGGGGAAUACUAGACAAGGGGCGAAAGCCUGAUCCAGCCAUGCCGAGUGUGUGAAGAAGAUCUUCGGAUUGUAAAGCACUUUAAGUUGGGAGGAAGGGCAGUAAGUUAAUACCUUGCUGUUUUGACGUUACCAAGAGAAUAAGCACCGGCUAACUUCGUG